This 2030-nucleotide long non-coding RNA is filed under the name Gallus gallus (chicken). RNAcentral's name for it is "lncRNA (ENSGALG00010029958.1)". Lineage: Eukaryota; Metazoa; Chordata; Aves; Galliformes; Phasianidae. The record is from RNAcentral.
AAACAAGAAGAGCUCUACUGAGAAGACUGCCUUUGUCACUGGCAACUGGAAAUUCAAAGACUUUCAGUCCCCAUAGUCAGACAUCUGGCCUAGGACACUUGGCUGCUGAGAACAGGGCCCCACAGGAAAGCAGCUGCAGCUACUUAGUGCUUCACCUGCAGCUGCCAAGGGAUGCUGCCUGGACAGUGCAGAUGCUGCAGCUUCGCAGGAAGGGGGAGACUGAAGCUCCCUCCUCCACCUGGGGGGAGGAAACCCCCAGCUCUCCCAUCCUGGAGUGGCCUCAUCCAUCUCUGCUCCUCCCAGGCCUUGCUCUUUGUUCAUGGUCUUCUGAACCCUGUGCUUAGAGCUGCCAAGGCCCUCUUGUCCCCUUCUUGGCCAGACCUGUAACCACUGGGAUGCAGGGCACCACGUGGCAUUCAUCAUCCUGAUUUGGAUGGGCUUGAGCUCCAGGUUGAGGCCCAGACACCCAGAAUUUGGGUGCUGCAGUGCCAGAGCCCUCCUCAGCAAAGCUCUUUAUGCACGAGUCAGUGCCUGGUGCUGGCUUUUACAUCCAUUCUCACAAAUCAUUUUUCUUACCUUGUCCCUGUGUUAACUACUGACUUCUGUUAAUGACCAAGAAAAGAACAUGCUGAAAUUUAACAGUUUUUAAAGCAGCUCACAUGACAACUGCCAUUUCCUAUAUUGUUCACUCUUCAGAACUACCAGCAAAUCCCUCUUUCCCAUGCUAUCAGCACUGUACUGGCAUGUUUGCCAGCCCCAGUCCUCUGGUAUACGUAACACUGUGUUUUUUGGACUGCAUGAAUGUGUGCAAGAUAUCUUUGAUGAGAUGUGAGGGAUGUAUCAGGCACAGAGAAUCUGGAAUGUCUAGUUAUUUCUAGAGCUGUGACUGACUAGGGGGAUUUUUCUGUGAAUUGUAGGUAGGGAAAAAGCUGUGGGGGUCAUUUCUAGAUAAGUUAUCUUUCCUUGGGUUAUAGGAAUAGUGAAACCUGGAUAAGAUAAAAGGUUUUCCACAGAAGAAUGGAGCAUCUCUUGCUCACUGGCACUGACCUGAAAAUCAGAAGUCUCAGGAGGUUAUAACCUCUCUUACAGCACUCAUUGGUGCACAAGGUCACAACAACAAAUGUACAUGCCUCCGCGUGUGUGCUUUUUCUGAUAUCUCUGAAGUUGCCUCACAUUGCUCACAGAGGCAUCAGAUUAAAAAUCCAGCUAGAACCCAAUUUCUCAUUUACUGCAACUUUUUCCUGCUGUACUUGUAACACUUGUGUUGUAUGUUCACAUUUUUGCUUUCAGGAUUUUACCAUCACAACUGCUAAUUUCUCUUUCAACAUCCUGUUCUGUCUAUUGUACAGCUGGGGUAGCUGCAGCACACACAUACCAAGCGAUCCACCCUGGGUCAUACAGUGAGUCGGUGGGAAAGCCAGCAAUAGAAUCCAUAAGUCCUGCAUCCAAGUUCUCUAAGUGCCUUGACUAGUCCAGAUUCCCUCCUUAACACCCUUGUCAAAUUGUUUAUAGGAGAUGUAUUCAUAUAGUCGGUAAGACAUCAAAAUUUUCUAAUUAUAUCUAGUCAUGUCAAAUGACAAUUAUGCCCUUAGUUCAGUUUGCCAGACAAUGCUUUACCAAAGAAGGCUUGCCAAAAAUUUUUUGACCGAAGAAAGAGUAGGCAUCUGUAGCAUCUGCAGAUGAGAUCGUAUAAAAUGUCCCUGCAGCAAGACUGCCCUGUCUCCACGGAAAGCUUCAAGCACUGACCAGCUGCCAGGCUGCAAGCCACCCAUCUGGUGUCACAAGAGAGUAUUCUGCUGAGGUAUCUUCAGUGAAGAGCAGCCAUGGCUUCUUCAGAUGCUGAGAUGGCUGUCUUUGGAGAGGCAGCUCCCUACCUCCGAAAGUCAGAGAAGGAAAGAAUCGAGGCCCAGAACAAGCCUUUUGAUGCCAAGUCAUCAGUCUUUGUGGCCCAUCCAAAGGAAUCCUUUGUGAAAGGGACAAUCCAGAGCAGGGAAACAGGGAAGGUCACUGUCAAGACUGAAGGUGGAGAG